This is a small nuclear RNA of Sorex fumeus (smoky shrew), 107 nucleotides long. The record is from RefSeq and is a predicted model, not a curated record. Lineage: Eukaryota; Metazoa; Chordata; Mammalia; Eulipotyphla; Soricidae.
GUGCUCGCUUCGGCAGCACAUAUAAUAAAAUUCGAAUGAUACAGAGAAGAUUAGCAUAGCCCCUGCGCAAAGAUGACAAAAAAACAGAGCAGGAUAAAUAAUUUUUU